GAUCGCAUACGUGUGGUGGUCUCGAGUUUUUUUGUCAAGGUGCUCCAGUUGCCAUGGCGCUGGGGGAUGAAGUAUUUCUGGGACACCUUGCUGGAUGCUGACCUCGAGAGUGACGCGCUAGGUUGGCAGUACAUUUCCGGGUCCCUCCCUGAUGGCCGCGAGCUUGACCGCAUCGACAACCCUCAGGUACUUGAGCUCUUUCAUUUGAUGAGAUCUUUUGAUGGGUAAAGCAGCAUGAUGAUGAAUUGUAUAAGCUGAAUUUUGCAAUGCUUUCAGUUUGAAGGGUACAAGUUUGACCCACAUGGGGAGUAUGUCCGGCGAUGGCUACCAGAGCUGGCGAGGUUGCCAACGGAAUGGAUACACCACCCCUGGGAUGCACCUGAGUCUGUGCUUCAAGCUGCGGGAGUUGAGCUAGGCUCCAACUAUCCUCGCCCCAUUGUUGAGUUAGAUGCAGCCAAUUCCAGGUUACAGGAUGCCCUGUCAGAAAUGUGGGAGCUUGAGGCGGCCUCUCGGGCUGCGAUGGAAAAU
RNAcentral lists this long non-coding RNA (528 nucleotides) under Setaria italica (foxtail millet). RNAcentral describes it as "long non-coding RNA (SITA_LNC000514)". The record is from RNAcentral. Lineage: Eukaryota; Viridiplantae; Streptophyta; Magnoliopsida; Poales; Poaceae.